AGCUUUGCACGGUGGCAGUAUUGUAGCCAAUGAGGUUUAUCCGAGGCGCGAUUAUUGCUAAUUGAAAAGUUUUUGCACAAAUAUGUCCGUAUAUACAUUCUUUUUUUUAAGAUUUUAUUUAUUCAUGAGAGUGA
Non-coding RNA from Canis lupus familiaris (dog), 134 nucleotides. The record is from Rfam. NCBI's taxonomy places the organism in Eukaryota, Metazoa, Chordata, Mammalia, Carnivora, Canidae.